This 74-nucleotide transfer RNA is filed under the name Apaloderma vittatum (bar-tailed trogon). It matches the Rfam family "tRNA". From Rfam's summary of the family: Transfer RNA (tRNA) molecules are approximately 80 nucleotides in length. Their secondary structure includes four short double-helical elements and three loops (D, anti-codon, and T loops). Lineage: Eukaryota; Metazoa; Chordata; Aves; Trogoniformes; Trogonidae. The record is from Rfam by way of RNAcentral.
GGCCCGUUAGGUCAGUCAGUUGGAGUGUGGUGCUGAUAACACCAAGGUCGCGGGUUCAAUCCCCGUUCAGUCCC